RNAcentral lists this long non-coding RNA (200 nucleotides) under Phoenix dactylifera (date palm). RNAcentral's name for it is "long non-coding RNA (PDAC_LNC006109)". Lineage: Eukaryota; Viridiplantae; Streptophyta; Magnoliopsida; Arecales; Arecaceae. The record is from RNAcentral.
GUAUUUGGGCCCUAUAUAUAGGGAACUAUUUUCAUGAUUAGGGUUUAAUGAAUGAUUAAGAAUUUCUUUUCCCUACGUUCUUUCUUCUCUUCUUCUCCUCUCCUUCUCUAUUCUUCCUGCGUCUCUACAACCUCUUCUUCCUUCUCCUUCUCUUGUUCUUCCUUCUUCUCCUCUUCCCCCGCACUGGUGCUACAUCAACU